RNAcentral lists this ribosomal RNA (273 nucleotides) under uncultured bacterium. RNAcentral describes it as "partial 16S ribosomal RNA". It matches the Rfam family "Bacterial small subunit ribosomal RNA", at positions 85 to 354 of the family's 1533-position model. The record is from RNAcentral.
CCGCCGGCGACCGGCGCACGGGUGAGUAACACGUAUGAAACCUGCCCGUAGCAGGGGGAUAAGCGGAAGAAAUUCCGUCUAAUACCGCGUAACAACCCGAGGAGGCAUCUCCUCGGGUUUAAAGGAAGCGAUUCCGGCUACGGAUGGUCAUGCGUCGCAUUAGCUAGUUGGCGGGGUAACGGCCCACCAAGGCGACGAUGCGUAGGGGUUCUGAGAGGAAGGUCCCCCACACUGGUACUGAGACACGGACCAGACUCCUACGGAAGGCAGCAG